RNAcentral lists this long non-coding RNA (534 nucleotides) under Eutrema salsugineum. RNAcentral's name for it is "long non-coding RNA (ESAL_LNC000020)". Lineage: Eukaryota; Viridiplantae; Streptophyta; Magnoliopsida; Brassicales; Brassicaceae. The record is from RNAcentral.
AAGAUUAUAUUUCCAAAAGUUAUUUUGUUUGUUGUAUACAUAACGAAAACAGUCAGAUGUCAAACAAAAAAAAUAUAACGAGACAGCGAGCAUUCAGCAGAGGAGCAUGGAAUACGCGAGGCGAGGUAGGGGAGGCAUGUGGGAAGCACGUGACCAUAUUGAACACCUAAGUCGUUUGCGGCGACGGCGGAAGAAGCUUCGAGUUCUGACUAAAAUUGCGGCGGAUCUGCGCGCUAAAGAAAAAAAAAACAAAAUUUAUGUUUUGUAUACAGCUUAGAUUCCUAAAUACUAAUAUUAAGCAUAAAAUGUUAAGCAACCCGCAUUACAAAAAAAAAAAACGGAAGCUAUUUUGAAGGCUGCUUAAGAAAAUAGUUUAUGCUAAGGCAAUUGAGUCUAGUUACCUAGUUAGUAUUAAAUUAGGUUUUAGAAAUUGUAUUAAAAAUAUGUAGCCUACUCACAUGUUAAUCAAUAACAAAAACCUUAACAGUAAUGGUUCAAAAAUAAUUGAUAAUUUUGAAAAAUGAUAGUAACGUG